UGUAGGUAUGAAUUUAAACAAAUUAGCAUAUUGUGACGUCACUGAUCUUUCAACCCGUGUCUUCAGGCGCAGCCGUGUUUCCACUGUCGGGCCUAAAGCGGGCGUGCUAGUGCGUGCCAGGGCCAGUCGCGUUUCCACUGUCACUUCCGGGGCUUGAUCGUGCCUCAUCGGGGCCAACGGCCCGGGUUUUUCGGCCCGCCGAAUACCUUGGUCCAAAGCGGGCCAGCUCGGGCUUGAGGAGGGAGUGGUUACGAACAAAGGCGGAGUUUAUCUGUGUGUGGAGACCAUAGACUGUGGUGGAGACGGAGGCGCCGAUAAUUACAUUAAACCUAAUCCUCUGGCCAGACGAUGACAAGCCAGGAUUCAUGAGGACUGUCGCCGAAAGCGUCUGAAGGGGUUCAGUAAAGCCAGACAGAAAAUUAAGAUCAUCAUCAUCAUUCUCCAUUCCUGAUUUUAUUCCAGCACCAAUUUUCCUUUCAAAUGUACAUGCAAAUUUCCACUGUAAUUAUUGUAAAAUAGAAUCUGGAAUACAAGCCAUGUCAGAUUGAGAUUUAUAUCUGUGAUAACUGAUGUUCUUUAUGCUAAACCACACACACACACACACACACACACACAGACACACAGAGAGAGAGAGAGAGAAAGACAGGUAUCAUCAUGAUGAGGACAAUCUGUAGACAUAAUGGUUUUUAUACUGUACAAAGUGUAUAUUCUGUCCCCCUACACUACCCUAUCACAAAAAAAAACAAAAACUUUCUGCAUUUUUUAGUAUGUUUUUAAGCCAUUUCAAUUACAAGGGCUCAGGAAAUGUCCUCACAAACGUCCUCAUUUAUGUUGUAAGACCAGUGUAAUGUCAUUAUACACAUUUGUGUCCUCAUAAAUCAUAUAAACAAGCACACAUAAACACUCUCUCUCUCACACACACACACACACACACACAGUGUCCUUAGGCAACGCAUGCAUUGGAUUGCUAUGACACGUGAAAACCGUCAUGGUGAAUGUAACAGUUUUGCACAGACAUGAGCUGUAACUGAAUCCUGAAGUGUGCUCAUCAAUAAACAUGACAUUUACCAAGAAUUACUGGGAGUUUCUGCUAAUUUGCUCAGAAUAAGGAACGACAAGCAGCCUGGUGGAUGAGACAGAAACCAUCUCAGAUAAUGAAUGAGCAAUAGAAACCAGUAAAGCUCCCUGA
Long non-coding RNA from Megalobrama amblycephala (Wuchang bream), 1189 nucleotides. RefSeq lists it as uncharacterized. The record is from RefSeq and is a predicted model, not a curated record. The transcript has 3 exons. Lineage: Eukaryota; Metazoa; Chordata; Actinopteri; Cypriniformes; Xenocyprididae.